RNAcentral lists this unclassified non-coding RNA (383 nucleotides) under uncultured Pirellulaceae bacterium. RNAcentral describes it as "contains 16S-23S intergenic spacer region". The record is from RNAcentral. Lineage: Bacteria; Pseudomonadati; Planctomycetota; Planctomycetia; Pirellulales; Pirellulaceae.
UCCGGUUUAACACCGGCAGUCUCCUUAGAGUCCCCGGCAUGACCCGCUGGCAACUAAGGACAAGGGUUUCGCUCGUUAAGCGACUUAACGCGACAUCUCACGACACGAGCUGACGACAGCCAUGCAGCACCUGUGCAAAGGCUCCCCGAAGGGCACCCCAGGCUUUCACCCAGGUUCCUAAGCAUGUCAAGACUAGGAUAAGGUUCUUCGCGUAGCCUCGAAUUAAGCCACAUCCUCCACCGCUUGUGUGAGCCCCCGUCAAUUCCUUUGAGUUUUAGCCUUGCGGCCGUACUCCCCAGGCGGAGUGCUUAACGCGUUGGCUGCGACACCGCGGGGGUCAAUACCCCGAACACCUAGUGCCCAUCGUUUACAGCGUGGACUAC